UACAGAGGUCUCAAGCGUUGUUCGGAUUCAUUGGGCGUAAAGGGUGCGUAGGCGGUCGCGUAAGUCAGGUGUGAAAUCUCAGGGCUCAACCCUGAAACUGCACUUGAUACUGCGUGGCUCGGGUACUGGAGAGGAGACUGGAAUUUACGGUGUAGCAGUGAAAUGCGUAGAUAUCGUAAGGAAGACCAGUGGCGAAGGCGAGUCUCUGGACAGUUACCGACGCUGAGGCACGAAGGUCAGGGGAGCAAACGGG
This 253-nucleotide ribosomal RNA is filed under the name uncultured bacterium. Its description in RNAcentral is "partial 16S ribosomal RNA". It matches the Rfam family "Bacterial small subunit ribosomal RNA", at positions 524 to 776 of the family's 1533-position model. The record is from RNAcentral.